AUGACUUUUAAAAAUAAGCGAAUAACGGACAGAUUUGAUACUUACCUCUAGAGCGUCUAGGUGACGUAUAUUCUUGCUUCCACAAUUAUUCCUCUAUAUAUCGGCUAUGUCUAAGGCUAUGAUGAUCUCUAAUAUCUAUGGUAAUGCUUCUUAGAGUCAUUGAGAUUUUACGUUUCCAUAUCGUAUUAAAGGUUCAUAAUCUUGAUAAAACAUUAAUCUUUGGUAAUACUCCUUGCUGGUUCACGUUGAUUGUUCUAUUGAGUUAUAAGAAAUGAUUUUAAUUGCAUAUGGUUGCUCAUAAUAUUCUGCUCGUGCAUAGAGUCAUUUAUCAUUUCACCGAGUCCCGGGCCGGGUAAUGUUCGUGCGGAGUUUCUUGCAUAUGUCACCGAGUUCCUCACUAGAGGGCCGGGUAUGUAUAUUAUAUAUAUGAUUGGUGAUGAGGAUGGUUAUGAUGAUGAUGAUGACGGAGAUGACGUGAUGAUUAUUUUGCUGAGCCCCUUACUAGGGAAACUGGGCACCUUAAAUGUUAAAUAUAUGCAUGAUUUUCACUUAAAAGGGUAUAUGUGUAGCGAUAUUUUGUUUCGACUUGCCAUAUUUGUAUCCUGUCAUCCUUACCUUAUGCUUUACAUACUCAGUACAUUGUCCGUACUGACCCCCCUUUCCUCGGGGGGUUGCGUUUCAUGCCCGCAAGUGUAGACGCACAAUUCGGUGAUCCUCCCGCCUAGGAUAUCUACUCUGCUGAUUGGGAGAGCUCCACUGUUCCGGAGCCCAGUCGUUUUGGUACAUAACUUUUGUGUAGUCUUUUGCUCGUCUAUGGGUAUGGCGGGGCCCUGUCCCGUCGAGUUUUACUAAUGUACUCUUAGAGGUCUGUGGACAUUAUGUGGGUUGUAUAUAUAUGUUUUGGAUAAUGGUCUGGACAUGGUUUGUUUGGGAUGUCCGCUUGUACAGGGGCAGCCUUGUCGGCUGCGUACAUCAUUGUGUAUUGUGUAGUGGCAACCUUGUCGGCAUACGUAUGUUAUUAUGCUUUGAAUAGUGGCGGCCUUGUCGGCUCACGUAUGCUGUUAUGGUUGAAUGAUUAUGACUUCUUAUGAGACAGGUCCUCUUAUAUAUAUAUGACGUUGGGGUUGGCUUGAUUUGAUUAAAUUCCAUAUUGUCUUAGUUUCAGUUGGUUAUACUUAGCAGGUUUGUAUGUAGGCGUCCAAAAUGGGCAUUAGUCACGGCCCAUCGGGUUGGGUCGUGACAAAGAGUGGUAUCAGAGCGGUUCUUCCUCGGAAGUGUCUACAGACCGUGUCUAGUAGAGUCUUCUUUAUCGGUGUGUUGUGCACCACAUCUAUAAACAGGAAGCUACAGGACAUUUAGGAUGUCAUUAUUUCUUCUUAUUCUAGAUCGUGCGAUAGAGCUAUAUUAACAGGAUAAUCCCUCUCUAACGAAUCCAUGUGUUUUCAGCUAUGCCUCCAAAGAAAGCGACAACCGCCCAGAAGGGAAAAUCUGUAGCAGAAGGUACUAGUCAGACCUGGAGAGUUACUAGGGCCCGUGCCCACUCUAUGCCUAGUAUUAUUCUCUAGUCGGAGAGCUCUGCUACACCCCCACCGCCAGAAGAGCUUAGAGCAGCAGCAGCUCCAGUUCGGGGGACACCACCAGCCUCCGAGGCCCCAACAUUUGAACCUCCAGCUCCUCAGUCAGGGGCAGAGGAUAGGGCCACGAGAGAUGCGGUUCAAUUGCUGACUAGAUUAGUGGCAGAUCAGGCUCACAGGCAUGGACUAGGAGUUGAUCAUGCGGACUGAUCUGAUAGCUUAAGGGCUCGUGACUUCUUAAGUUGUAAUCCUCCAGAGUUCUUUGGGUCAAGGCCCCAGGAUGAUCUGCAAGAGUUUAUUCGUCAGAUGCAGCGUACAUUGAGGAUAAUCAAGGCUUCGGAGACCGAGUCUGUUGAGUUGGCUACGUACUCUUUGCGGGAUGUAGCUAUUAAUUGGUAUGAGUCUUGGGAGUUAUCUAGGGGUGAGGGUGCUCCUCCAACGGUAUGGGAUGAAUUUGUGGAGGCUUUCCAGGGCCACUUCCUGCCUCCAGAGAUGAAGCGAGCUAGAGUCGAUAGAUUCUUGCGUUUAAAGCAAAAUGACAGGAGCGUUCGAGAGUAUAGCCUCGAGUUUGAUUCAUUGGCUAGGCAUGCGCCUACUAUUGUGGCUGAUAUGGCAGACAGGGUACAUCGUUAUGUGAUGGGAUUGGAUCGUUAUUUGAUUGACGGUUGUAUGGCAAUGACUCUUCAGCUAGGUAUGGACAUUGCUCGGGUGCAUGCAUAUGCACAGGUGGUAGAGGAUCGACACCGGGGACAUUUGCCAGAUAGAGAUUAUAAUAGAGGCCAGCAUAAGAGGGCUAGAUCAGCAGGUUAUCCUGACGAGUUUCAAAGUGGGCAGUCUCAGCAGCAUGUUAGAUUUUCUUCCCAGCCAGCACAGAGUGCACCCCCACGUUUCAUGGGUAGGGGGUUCGAUCGUAUGGGAUAUUCGGAAGCUGGUCAGAGCUCUAGGGCGUCAGGGUCACAGAUGGGCAGGGGUUUGAGCCAGUCGAGGCCACCUUUGCCUCGGUGUUCUCGUUGUGGUAAGUCCCAUCCUGGGGAAUGUCGUUGGGCUACAGAUACGUGUUUUUCUUGCGGCCGUCAGGGCCAUACUAUGAGGGAGUGUCACCUUAGAGGUAGUGCAGGUGGUAUGGCACAGCCUACAGGGUCCGUUGCUGGUUCAUCUUCUUCUGUGGCUAUGCGCCCUACGGGGCAGGGUAUUCAGGCGCCAGCAGGCCGUGGUAGAGGACGUGGUGGAACUUCCAGUUCUAGCGGUCCCUCAAACCGUAUAUAUGCUUUGACUAAUAGGCAAGAUCAGGAGGCGUCACCUAAUGUGAUCACAGGUAUAUUAUCACUAUUCUCCCGAAGUAUGUAUGCAUUGAUAGACCCAGGUUCCACCUUAUCAUAUAUAUCUCCCUUUGUUGCUAGUAGGAUCGGAAUAGCGUCUGAGUUGAUAGAACCAUUUGAGGUAGUUACACCUGUAGGAGAUUUUGUCAUAGCUACGCGAGUAUAUAGGAAUUGUUCAGUAGUUAUAUAUAGUCGUCGUACCGUAGCAGAUCUAAUAGAGUUAAGUAUGAUUGAGUUUGAUAUUAUCAUGGGCAUGGAUUGGUUGGCUGCUUGUUAUGCUAAUGUUGAUUGCAGAGGAAAGAUAGUUCGAUUUCAAUUUCCAGGGGAACCAAUUAUAGAGUGGAAGGGAAGUACAGUAUCGCCGAAAGGUAAGUUCAUUUCAUACCUCAAGGCCGGGAAGAUGGUUAGAAAAGGCUAUAUUUACCAUCUGAUUCGGGUGCAUGACAUAAAGGCAGAGGCACCGACUCUUCAAUCAGUCCCGGUAGUUAAUGAAUUUCUCGAUGUAUUCCCCGAGGAACUUCCAGGCCUUCCUCCAGAACGGGAGAUAGAGUUUACUAUAGAUGUACUGCCAGAUACCCAGCCUAUAUCUAUACCUCCUUAUAGAAUGGCACCUGCUGAGUUGAAAGAAUUGAAAGAGAGAUUGAGGGAUUUGCUUGAAAAGGGCUUCAUCAGGCCUAGUACAUCACCUUGGGGAGCACCGGUACUGUUUGUGAGGAAGAAGGAUGGGUCGUUGCGGAUGUGCAUUGAUUAUAGGCAGUUGAACAAAGUAACAAUAAAGAACAGGUAUCCCCUCCCAAGGAUUGAUGAUCUAUUUGACCAGUUGCAGGGUGCAAAGUGUUUUUCAAAGAUAGACUUGCGGUCAGGUUAUCAUCAGGUGCGGGUAAGGGAGGCAGAUAUUCCAAAGACGUCAUUCCGGACCCGAUAUGGGCAUUAUGAGUUUAGAGUGCUGUCUUUUGGGCUGACUAAUGCUCCAGCGGUGUUCAUGGAUUUAAUGAAUCGAGUAUUUAAACCAUUCCUUGAUAUGUUUGUUAUUGUAUUUAUAGACGAUAUUCUGGUCUAUUCACGUUCAGAAGAGGAGCAUGCAGAUCAUUUAAGGACGGUACUUAGGGUGCUUCAGCACCAGAAGUUGUAUGCUAAAUUUUCUAAGUGCGAGUUCUGGUUGACUUCAGUGGCAUUCUUGGGGCAUAUUAUUGGAGUUGAUGGUAUUCGGGUAGACACGCAGAAGAUUGAGGCAGUAAAGACUUAGCCCAGACCUACGACACCUACUGAGGUACGCAACUUUUUGGGGUUAGCAAGAUAUUACAGGAGAUUCGUAGAAAAGUUUGCCUCAAUUUCAGCGCCUUUGACAAGGCUAACUCAAAAGGCAGCCAAGUUCCAGUGGACAGAUGCUUGUGAGCGAAGCUUCCAGCUAUUCAAAGACAAAUUGACUACAGCUCCAUUCCUAACUCUUCCGGAGGGACCAGACGGCUAUGUUAUUUAUUGUGAUGCUUCGGGUGUUGGGCUAGGAUGUGUAUUGAUGCAGCAUGGCAAAGUUAUAGUCUAUGCCUCCCGACAACUUAGGAAGCAUGAAAAGAACUAUCCUACUCACGAUCUGGAGUUAGCGGUCGUGGUUCAUGCCUUGAAGAUAUGGAGACAUUAUUUAUAUGGUGUCCAUGUGGACAUCUAUACAGAUCAUAAGAGUCUCCAAUAUAUCUUUAAACAGAAGGAGCUGAACUUACGACAAAGGCGGUGGUUAGAGUUGCUAAUGGAUUAUGAUGUUGAUAUUUUAUAUCAUCCAGGGAAAGCGAAUGUUGUAGCAGAUGCUCUUAGCCAUAAGUCCAUGGGUAGCUUGAAGGAUGUACAACCAGAAGGGAGGGAUAUGGUUCGGGAGAUUCAGCGGCUAUCCAGCCUUGGAGUCCGUCUAGCUAAUUCGGAAGAUAGUGAAGUUUCUAUUCGAGAGGUUGAUGAGUCCUCAAUCAUAGAUGAGGUAAAGAGACACCAAUACAAGGACCCUAUUCUGGCACAGUAUAGAGAUGCAACUCUUUAAAAGGAAAAGACCCCAUUUAAGGUUACACCUGACGGAGUGUUACGAUAUGAAGGCAGAUUGUGUGUACCCGAUACUGUGGGGCUACGACGGCAGGUUAUUGGAGAGGCACACUCUGCCCGUUAUUCUAUUCACCCAGGGUCAACGAAAAAGUAUCAUGACCUCAGAUGCUUAUAUUGGUGGGAUGGCAUGAAAACGGACAUUGCGGAGUUUGUUGCUCAGUGCCCAAAUUGUCAACAAGUCAAGAUCGAACAUCAAAAGCCUUGUGGAUUAUUACAGGAGAUAGAGAUCCCAACUUGGAAAUGGGAGAUGAUUAAUAUGGACUUCAUUACAGGCUUACCUCGCACUCAACGGAAGUAUGACUCUAUAUGGGUUAUUGUAGAUAGGCUGACGAAAUCGGCCCAUUUUCUUCCAGUCAGGACUACUUAUUCGGCUGAAGAUUAUGCGAGGUUAUAUGUCAGGGAGAUAGUGAGACUUCAUGGGGUUCCCACGUCCAUUAUAUCAGACAGAGGAGCUCAAUUUACAGCCAACUUUUGGAGAUCGUUUCAGAAGGGAUUGGGGACACAGGUGAACCUUAGCACAACAUUUCACCCUCAGACUGAUGGGCAGACUGAGCGUACUAUUCAAACACUAGAAGAUAUGAUGCGGGCCUGUAUUAUUGACUUCAAAGGCAGCUGGGAUGACCACUUGCCGCUCGUUGAGGUUGCCUAUAAUAAUAGCUACCAUUCUAGUAUCCAGAUGGCACCGUACGAGGCCUUAUAUGGGAGGAAGUGCAGAUCACCUAUUGGUUGGUUUGAUGUUGGCAAGACUAAGUUAAUAGGCCCGGAUGUGAUUCAGCAAGCUGUUGACAAGGUGAAGCUUAUUCAAGAAAGAUUAUUAGCAGCCCAGAGUCGACAGAAGUCAUAUGCAGAUAAUCGGCGUCGAGAUUUGGAGUUUCAGAUUGGUGACUGGGUAUUCCUGAAGGUAUCACCCAUGGGGGGUGUGAUGAGAUUCGGCAGGAAGGGGAAGCUCAGUCCGAGAUACAUUGGGCCUUAUCAGAUUGUUGGUAGGAUAGGCAAGGUUACCUAUGAGUUGGAUCUACCAUCUGAAUUGGAGGCAGUACAUCCAGUCUUCCAUGUAUCGAUGCUACGUAAAUGUAUUGGUGAUCCUUCUAGAGUAUUCCCUGUAGAUGAUAUUCAGGUAACAGAGGAGUUGUCAUAUGAGGAGAAACCCGUGGCUAUACUUGAUCGUCAGGUUAGAAGGUUACGUACUAAGGAUGUGGCUUCCAUCAAAGUGUUGUGGCAAAAUAACAAUAGGGAGGAGAUGAAUUGGGAAGCGGAAGACGAAAUGAAGAAUAAUUAUCCUUACUUAUUCCCCGUACCUGCAGGUAAUUCAAUUCCUAGCUUGACUAUAUUGAUAGAUAAUGAGAUUAUGUAGCUGUGAGGCAUAUGUAAGUUACGGAAUGCAGGUUGAUAGGUAUAACUUUUAGAGAGACCUCGCUGGAAUUUGUUUUUGCAAGACGCUAACUUAACAUUCGAGGACGAAUGUUCCUAAGGGGGGAAGGAUGUUAUGCCUCGUAUUUUUUUAUACGUAGUGCGCAUCGUGAUCUAUAAGACGUAAAGAAAUAUUAGGCAAGGAUGUUAUUUCCAAAUGUGAUAUUAAGUAUGAGUUGGCUAAUGUAAGUGCCAUUAACUUUAAGUGAGGGAUUAAUUAGUGGAUAAUUUGGAUUGAUUUAAUCCAAUGGGCCCCACCAAUCAUAAUUGGUGGCUGAUUAGGAUUAAUUUAAUCUAGUGGGCCCCACCACUCAAGGCAAAAAUUAAAAAGGGAUCAGAUUGUGGGUUGGCCUUAGUGGACAGGUGUAGCCCCGCCUCCACUUCAUACUAUUAAAUGAGGUGGAGAAAUCCACUCCAUGCUAUAUAAAGUGGUGAAAUACAUUGUUGCAUAUCAUCUUCUUCUUCACCACUUGUCUUAGGCAACCAAGGAAAUGGAGAAACCAACCCUCAACUCUUGGCCAGCAGCUGCAAAUAAUUUGGUUAGUAAUCUCCUUGUUUGGUGUGUUAAUUAUUUAGAAUACCUUUGUUAAUUAUCCAUUAAUUAUAAGAAGGGGGCUUGACCAGUAGCUUAGGAAGUUUGUUUUAGUUAUUGAAUGUACUAAGUAUGAAUGGAAACCAUAAUCGGAUUAUUAGUGGUGUCGUGUUGGUGCUUGGGCUAUUUUGAUUAAAGCAAACUGCGGGAAAAUUCUGUUUUGGCAUUAUAUAUAUGUUAAAUGUGAUUAUGAGUAUAUACUACAAAGGAUGAAUACAAUAAGGUAGAUGUGUUGCGAAUUAUAAAACGAGUUAUCGCUCGGUGUGUCGUUGCUUCGCUGCUAUGGUUGCCGAGACGGAACUGUUUUGGGGAGGGGGCUGUUUAAUAUGAUUCGUUGGGUUAUAUGUGUUAUUGGUAUUGCUGUGGAUAAUUUGGGUUGUUGUCGUAUUGGGACGAAGUAAGGAAAAUAGGGGAAGUGCUGCCGGAUUUUCGUUAGAUUAUUAGCUAGCUUACAAGAAAGUAAAGCGCGAUGUUUAUCUAAUUGCGGCACGAUUGUUGCUUGUUAUAGAUUAAUAGCUUGAGUAGUAAAUAUUGGACGUGUGGCCCGAUUAUACGGUAUGUAACGCUGUCCCUUCUUUCUUUGUUUGGCAUGACUUUUAAAAAUAAGCGAAUAACGGACAGGUUUGAUACUUACCUCUAGAGCGUCUAGGUGACGUAUAUUCUUGCUUCCACAAUUAUUCCUCUAUAUAUCGGCUAUGUCUAAGGCUAUGAUGAUCUCUCAUAUCUACGGUAGUGCUUCUUAGAGUCAUUGAGAUUUUACGUUUCCAUAUCGUAUUAAAGGGUUCAUAAUCUUGAUAAAACAUUAAUCUUUGGUAAUACUCCUUGCUGGUUCACGUUGAUUGUUCUAUUGAGUUAUAAGAAAUGAUUUUAAUUACAUAUGGUUGCUCAUAAUAUUUUGCUCGUGCAUAGAGUCAUUUAUCAUUUCACCGAGUCCCGGGCCGGGUAAUGUUCGUGCGGAGUUCCUUGCAUAUGUCACCGAGUUCCUCAGUAGAGGGCCGGGUAAUGUUCGUGCGGAGUUUCUUGCAUAUGUCACCGAGUUCCUCACUAGAGGGCCGGGUAUGUAUAUUAUAUAUAUGAUUGGUGAUGAGGAUGGUUAUGAUGAUGAUGAUGACGGAGAUGACGUGAUGAUUAUUUUGCCGAGCCCCUUACUAGGGAAGCUGGGCACCUUAAAUGUUAAAUAUAUGCAUGAUUUUCACUUAAAAGGGUAUAUGUGUAGCGAUAUUUUGUUUCGACUUGCCAUAUUGGUAUCCUGUCAUCU
Molecule: long non-coding RNA, 8238 nt
Filed under: Solanum lycopersicum (tomato)
Lineage: Eukaryota; Viridiplantae; Streptophyta; Magnoliopsida; Solanales; Solanaceae
Description: long non-coding RNA (SLYC_LNC000008)
Source: RNAcentral